This is a long non-coding RNA of Panicum virgatum (switchgrass), 1734 nucleotides long. RefSeq lists it as uncharacterized. The record is from RefSeq and is a predicted model, not a curated record. NCBI's taxonomy places the organism in Eukaryota, Viridiplantae, Streptophyta, Magnoliopsida, Poales, Poaceae. The transcript has 2 exons.
ACCCGCAAACAAUCCUCCCAGCUGGCAGCCCCUCUCGUCCCUAGCGGCGGCGUCCGCUACUACUAUUGUCGCCUCCGCUCCACUCCGCUGCGGCUGCUCCUCCUCAUCGACAUCUGCUCCUUCGAUUCAUAUGCUUCAGCUCCCUUGGGUACAAAACGAAGCCGCAACACAAGGGCGGCGCGGCGGCGGUGACGCGGUGGCGGCCGCAGCACAAGAACAGGUCGCGGCCGUCCCCCCUGGUCGUUGCUCCCUCUGCGCAGGCUACGCCGUGCAGGUCGUCUCCGCCCCUCCUCACAAGCACUCCGCCCCUCCUCACUAGAAUAUGAGGAAUCUAGAUCAGGCGCGUACUCUUCUUCCCCCCAAGUUUAGGCACUGUCGGUAGUGAUUGGUGAAUCUUCUCUGGCCUUCGUCUUCAGAGCACUUGUUGUUUUGAGCUAGCAUGUGCUCUCACCACCUGUCUUUGUGCAGAAUGGAUGGAUAUACAUAGCCUGGAGCCACUAGAUAUUAGAAAUCGAUUGUUUCAGAUAUGGCCAGGCUGCUAUAUCCAGGCAAGAGAGCCACGGUCAUUGAUAGGCCUGAGAAUAUCCUGCCUUCAUUCUUGCUUGAUUAAAUCUCUAGGUGUAUUGUACCGUGCCAAUGCUAUAUAAUUGUGUGGAAGCAACUGACAAUGCUAUUGAAGCUUUGGACUCAGUGCAGUAUACAUAGCCUUGAGUGCUUAGUGCAGUAUAGGACAGCUUUUGAAGCUUUGUACUCACAAGAUCUCAGUUAUGUGGACAUACCUUCUGCUGAUGAAUGGAAAAUGGCAGAUCUUCUCUGCAAAAUAUUCAAGCCUUUCUAUGAUGAUUUCAGGUUCAUUGUUCCCGACCACCCACCCAUAUUAUCAUGUUCUCUGGACAGUAAAAGAAAAAAUAGAAAAGGAGGCUUCAAAUGAAGAUCAUUGUAUUGCAGCAAUGACAGUUAAAAUGAAAGAGAAGUUUCUGAAGUAUUGGGAUUUAUCCUUGCUACAGAUCUAUGUGCAUGUUGUUCUAGAUCCUAGAUUCAAGUUCAAUUUCAUAGCCUUUCGCUUGGAGGCACGAUUUGGCAACAAAGAUCCCACAUACACUGCAAAAGUGAAGUCAGCAUUGGAGGAUUUAUUUUCUGCAUAUUCAUCACAAGCACCUGAUUCAAACAACAACUAUCAGCCACAAUCCAAUGAUGAGAUCAUCCAUGAAGAUGACCCCUAGGCAGACUGGGAACAACACCUUACAGCACAGAAAAAGAACACAGUGAAAAAUGAGCUUCAAGUAUAUUUGCAAGAUGAUCUUUUCCUCGGCAAAAGGAUUUGGACAUUCUACAAUGGUGGAUGAUGCACUCUAUUUGUAGCACCUGCAUCGACAGUAGCUUCCGAGUCUGCAUUCUCUACUAGUGGGAGAGUUAUUGGCGACUAUAGAAGCCGGUUGACAAGAAAGAAUGUAGAAGCAUUAAUUUGCCUCCAGGACUGGUUGAGAGUAGAAGGCCAUGGCAACUUCAAAAUUGCAGAAGGUGAUAUUAGUGAUGGUGAGGAUCGGUUAGAAUAAAAACUAACAGGUAUAUAAUGAAUACUAUAUACUGAAUUCUGUGCUCAGUUCUUUGAAUGUUUACUCAGUUGUUCAACAUGAAAGUGAAAGACUGAGGUGCUGCUAUUGAGUAGGCUGGUGUAGAGCACUUCUGUUGUUUCCCUUUGACCUUAUUAACAAGUAUUUUCUUCUUGAAUUA